Non-coding RNA from Oryctolagus cuniculus (rabbit), 14654 nucleotides. NCBI's taxonomy places the organism in Eukaryota, Metazoa, Chordata, Mammalia, Lagomorpha, Leporidae. The record is from RefSeq and is a predicted model, not a curated record.
AAAUUUUUGGGGCUGGUGCUGUGGCGCAGUGGAUUAACACCCUGGCCUGAAGCGCUGGCGUCCCAUAUGGACACCGGUUCAAGACCCGGUGGCUCGACUUCCAGUCCAGCUUUCUGCUGUGGCCUGGGAAAGCAGUAGAAGAUGGCCCAAGUGCUUGGGCCCCUGCACCCGCAUGGAAGACCCAGAAGAAGCUCCUGGCUCCUGGCUUCAGAUUGGCGCAGUUCCAGCUGUUAUGGCCAAUCAGGAGUGAACCAGUGGAAGACACCCCCCCACACACCUCUCUUUCUAUCUCUAUGUUAACUCUGCCUUUCAAAUAAAUAAAUAAAUCUUUAAAAAAAAGUUGAAGAGAAGCGUGUUUUCUCAAAAUUAAAGAAAAUUAUAUUAAAAUUUUUAUUUCAGGGACUUUACAAUGCUAAUUUUUUUUCAGAUUUAUUUAUUUAUUUGAAAGUCAGAGUUACACAGGGAGAAGGAGAGGCAGAGAGAGAAAGGUCUUCCAUUCACUGGUUCACUCUCCAGUUGGCCUCAAUGGCCAGAGCUGUUCUGAUCCAAAGCUAGAAGCCAGGAACUUCUUCUGUCCCUUGCAGGUACAGGGGCCCAAGGACUCGGGCCAUAUUCCACUGCUUUCCCAGGCCAUAGCAGAGAGCUGGAUCAGAAGAGGAGCAGCCGGGACUUGAACCGGUGCCCAUAUGAGAUGCUGGCACUGCAGAUGGCUGCUUUACCUGCUGCACCACAGCGCUGGCCCCACAAUGUUAAUUUCAAAACAGCGAAACAUUUACCAGGGGCUGUUGUUUUUGAAUACCUACUAAAUAUCAUAUUUGAGGGAAUUCUGGUAUAUAAAUACAAAUUUUUAUUUGAUGUGAUUUUUUGCAGUUAUUAACAGUGUUUUCUUUGUGUCACAUUGCAUUUGUAAGUUAUUCAAAAGACUACAGUUACAGGAUAAAUAAUAAUGUGAAAUAAUCAUAAUAGCUAAAAGUUUCCUCAGAUUUUAUAUGUAUAUAAACAUUGGUCCAUUUGUUGUUAUUAGCCCAUUCAGAAGUGAAUGAUCCUUGUUCCUUCCUUUGUGUUGUUAAUUUUGUCCACUUUGCUAUUACAAAAGAUUAAAUAUUGGUUCUGCUUGAAGGUACACGGAGUAGACAUUUUGUCUCAUAGUUAAAUUGCCACAUGGCAUGGCCACAUCCCACAUCAGAAUGCCUAUUUCAAGUCCUGGCUCCUCUGGUUUUGAACCAGCUUCCUGCUAAUGAGCAGCAUGUGAGGCAGCUACUGAUGACUCCUGCCACCCACAUGAGAGACAUGCAUUGAGUUCUGGGCUCCUAGUUUCAGCCUGGUGCAACACUGGCUAUUGUAGACAUUGGAAGAGUGAGCCAAUGGAUGGAAGAUCUGUCUCUCUGACUUUCACAUUAAUUGAAAGUCAAUAAAUAUUUAGAAAAAAAUACAUGAUACACAUUAGGGGCCGGCACUGUGUUAAGCCACUUCCUGCAGCACCAGCAUCCUGUAUGGGCAGUGGUUCAAGUGCAGGCUGCUCCACUUCUGUUCCACCUCCCUGCUUUGCACCUAGGAAAGCAGUAGAUGUCUCAGGUGCUUGGGUUCCUGCAUCCAUGUUUGAGACCCACAAAAAGAUCCCGGUUCCUGGCUUUAGCCUGGCCCAGCCCUUGCCAUUCCAGCCAUUCAAGGAGUGAGCCAGCAGAUGCAAGGUCCAUCUCUUUCUCUCUCUCUGUAACUCUGCCCUUCAAAUGAAUAAAAUAUUUUUUUAAAUGAAAAUAAUAGUAAUGUGAGUACUCGUAAUUGACCAAAUAUUAUACAAAUUGAGGUACCAUUUAAUUCUAAAACAACUUUGCACAGUAGUUACUACUGCUUUCCUCAUUUUGAGGAAGAAGCAACUGUGUUUUAGAGAGGUUAGGUAACUUGUUUAAGCUUUCAAAAAUACCUGGGGUUGAAUAGCCACAAUUCUCAUCCUGAACUAUCCAAACCACACCCUACCUCAAAUUUGAAAAAUCUAAAAGAUAUUAAAGAAAACCCAGAUAAAUAGAGAGAUACGUAAUUUUGAAGGAAAAGAUUCAGUAUUAUUCAAAAUGUUUCUUUCCCAAUAUGUAACCUAUGAAUUGCAAGUUUAGUCCAAUUUCAAUGUAUAAGAAUAAAUAUCUAAGACAGUUUUUUAAAGGAACAGUAAGAUUAGAGUUGCUCCAUCAGUUUUCACAUAUAUCUUUUUUUUAAAGAUUUAUGUAUGUAUUUAUUUAUUUAUUUAAAACUCAAAGUUACACAGAAGACCUCUCUCUCUCUCUCUCUCUCUCUCUCUCUGCCUGUGCCUCUCUAUACUCUGCAUUUCAAAUAAACAAAUCUUAUUUUUAAAUAGAUACAUUUCUUUAUUUGAAAGGCAGAGUUACACAGAGAAAGAGAAAUAUCUUCCAUACGUUGGUUCACUCCCCCAGAUGGCCACAACAGCCAGGGCUGGGCUAGGCCAAAGCCAGGAGUCAAGAAUUGAAUUGGAGCUCAUCUGGGAUGCCAGUGUCGCAGACCCACUGUGCCACAACUCCAGCCCCCAUGUUAUAAAUUUUAAAUUGCUAUUUAAAUAAAUAUUACUUAAGAUGUACAGUAACCAAGCUUGCAAACGUGGUGGUUUUGAUUAGUUUAUUUGAAAGGCGGGGGGUGAGAGAACAUUUUGUGGGGUUUCCCCAUAAAACAUUUUGUUGAGUUUCCAUCCAUUGGUUCACUCUCUAAAUGCCCAGGGCAGGACAAACCCAGGAGCCAGUAAUUCUAUCCAGGUCUCCUGCAUGGGUGACAAGGGCCCAGUCAUUUAGGCCAGUAACAUCUGCCUUCCCAGUCAUGUUAGCAGGAAGCUGGAUUGGAAACAGAGUAUCUAGGCCUGGAACUGGCACUUGGACAUGGAAUGCAGGUGUUCCAAGCAGCGGUUUUUAAUCUGCUGUGCUACAAUGUCCACUGUAGCACAUUGGUUUUUAGUUUUCUCUAAAAUGAGGAGACUGAAGCCCAGAGCAGGUAAGAAAUUGCCACAAAUAAGAGGCAGGCGUUUGGCCCAGCAGUUAAUAUGCCUGCUUUUCAUAUCAGAAUGGUUGAGUUCACGUCUCGGCUCCAUUACUGAUUCCAGCUUCCUGAGAGCAUUCAUCUUGGGAGGCAGUAAGUGAUGGCUCCAGUCCCUACCACCCAUGUGGGAGACUGAGAUGAAUUCUGGAAUCAUGGCUUUGAUCUGGCCUAGCCCCAACUGUGCAUAUGAAGAAUAAACCAGUGAAUGGGAUCUCUCUCCCUCUCUCAAUCAAAUAAAUAAAUAUAUAAAAAAUUCUUUUAAAAAGAAAAGAAGUUGCCCAGAGUAAAAUGACAAUUUAGUAAAAGAGCUGAGACUACGACCAUAUUUUCCUGCCUCUUAGUCUUCUGUUAAUUCUGUUCUGCCAAAUAGCCCUCCUAAAUCUAAUUUAUGGAUUUUGUUUUUAAAGAUUUAUUUAUUUAUUUGGAAAUCAGGGUUACACAGAGAGAGUAGGAGAGGCAGAGAGAGAGGUCUUCCAUCCACUGGUUUACUCCCCAGUUGGCUGCAAUGGCCGGAGCUGCACAGAUCCGAAGCCAGGAGCCAGGAGCCUCCUUCGGAUCUCCCAUGUGGGUGCAGGGCCCAAGGACUUGGGCCAUCUUGUAUCCUUUCCCAGGCCACAGCAGAGAGCUGGAUUGGAAGUGGAGCAUCUGGGACUCGAACCGGUACCCAUAUAGGAUGCUGGCACUGCAGGCGGCAGCUUUACCCCCUACACCACUGUGCCAGCCCCAAGGUUUUUGAUCUUUUAAUGUCCCCUUAGUAAUCUAGUUUUUUUUUUUCUUUACUUAUUAAUACUGUUGUUAUCUGAAAGGCAGAGUUAGGGUCCAGUGCUGUGGUGCAGCGGAUUAACUCCCUGGCCUGAAGCGCUGGCAUCCCAUGUGGGCACCAGUUCGGGUCCUUGUGUCCCUGCACCCACAUGGGAGGCCUGGAAGAAGCUCCUGGCUCUUGGUUUCAUAUCGGCACAACUCCAGCCAUUGCGGCCAAUUGGGGAGUAAACCAGCAGAUGGAAGACCUCUCUCUCUCUCUCUCUCUGCCUUUCUUCUCUCUGUGCAUCUCUGACUUUCAAAUAGAUAUAAAUCUUUUUAAAAAAUAAAUUAAAAAAAGAGAGAGAGAGGAGAGACUCUGAGAGAUCUUUCAUCCGUUGGUUCACUCACCAAAUGGCUGCAAUGGCUACUGCUGGGUGGCGCUGAAAUCAGGAGCCAAGAGCUUCUUCCAGGUGUCCCAUGUGGGUCAAGGGGCCUAAGCACUUGGGACAACUUCCACUGCUUUCCCAGGCCAUUCGCAGGGAGCUGGAUCAGAAGUGGAGCAGCUGGGACUCGAACUGGUGCACAGAUGGGAUGCCAAUGUCACAGGCAGAGGCUUAACCUGCUAUGCCACAGCACCGGACUCCUUUAUUUCUUACCAGAUGUUGAUUUCUAUUAAUGUUUCUUCUUUGUUCUAUGCCUUUUAAUUUUCCAUUAUUCUUUUUCUUUUUAUUAUUUGUAUUAUUGUAAUAGCCUGUUAACUAAUUUCCCAGUUUCCCUUCUCCUUUUCCUUCAUUUCAGACUAGAAUCAAUAUGCAUGGGUUUUCAUCUUGCCUCAUAAGAGUAGAAAUUAAUAAAAUAAAACCCAAAUACACAAUAAGGUACCUAUAAUAGUCAAAUUUGUAGAGACAGCAGUAGAAUGCUGGCUGUUAAUGUUUGGGGUUGGAAGAUGGAGCUUUUUGUUUAAUGUGUACAGUUUCGGGCCGGUGUUGUGGCGCAGUGACUUAAUGCCCUGGCCUAAAGCACCAGCAUCCCAUAUGGGCGCCAGUUAGAGACCGGCUGCUCCACUUCCGAUCCAGCUCUCUGCUAUGGCCUGGGAAAGUAGUAGAAGAUGGCCCAAAUCCUGGGCCCCUGCACCCACGUGGGGGACCCGGGAGAAGCUCCUGGCUACUGGCUUCAGAUCAGCACAGCUCCGGCCAUUGCGGCCAAUUGGGGAGUGCACCAUCGGAUGGAAGACCCCUCUCUUUCUCUGCCUCUCCUCUCUAUGUGUAACUCUGAUGCAAAGAAUUUUGGAGAUAGGGAUGGUGGUGAUGGUUGCACAACAAUAUAAAUUUACUUAAUGCCAUUGAACUAUACACUUAAAAGGGUUAAGAUGGUAAAUUUUAUCUUCCAUAUAUUUUACCAUAUUAAGGAAGUUGGGGAAAAAACCAAACCAAACAGAUAUGCAAUAGAAGUGUUCUACAAAGGAACCAUUGGUUCUCUGAGAAAAUAAUAAUUGAAUAUUAGAUUGAUCAAGAUUAAAGACACAGGAUAAGAAUAGGAUAAUAUGAGCAUACUCUCAGUGAAUUUGAAACUUUAGACAGAAUGGUUUACAUUUCUUUAAAAAAUAUAUAGAAGUAACUGAAAUGACGUCCCAGAAAAUUGAGGACCUUCGACUUCUAUACCAUUGAAUGAAUUCAAUCAAGAGUCAAAUAAAUGUGUUUCCAUUAGAACAUUCCUGGGGCAGGCACUUGGUGCAGCAGUUAAGUCACUGCUUGAGGUACCCAGAUCUCUCCCAUGCCAGAGGGCCUAGUUCAUGACCCAGCUCCUCCACUAUGUAUCCAGCUUUCUGCUGAAAACUGGUAGAAAGUAAAAGAAAGCCUAGAAACAGACAAGUAUAUAUAUAUAUUUUAAGAUUUUAUUUAUCUAUUUGAAGGCAGAGUUACAGAGAGGCAGAGAGAGAGACAAGAGUCUUCCAUUCGUUGGCCAUAAAGGCUGAGCUGUGUCAAUCCAAAGCCAGGAGCCUGGCGUUUCCUCCAGGCCUCCCACGUGGGUACAGGGGCCCAAGGACUUGGGCCAUCUUCCACUGCUUUCCCAGUCCAGUAGCAGAGAGCUGGAUCAGAAGUAGAGCAGCCAGGAGUCAAACCAGCACCUAUAUGGGAUGCCAGCAUUUCAGGUGGCAGCCUUACCCUCUAUGCCACAGUGCCAGCCCCAACGGGCCAGUAUAAGAAGAGUCUGCAUGGAUUUCAAAAUUCUUUUUUGCAUCAAAAUUUAUCUUUUUUUUUUUUUUAAGUAGGAUUCAUUUAUUUGAAAGAGUGAUUGAGAAAGAAGAGGGGAGAGAGAUAUCUUCCAUCUACUCUUCAUUCCCCAGAUACCUUCAACAACCAAGACUAGGGUCUUCCAUAUGGGUGGCAAGGGUCCAAAAUACUUGGGCCAUCUUGUGCUGCCUACCCUGGGCAAAUGAGCAGGAGGUUAGACCAGAAACAUGUAGUAGCCAGGGUUUGAACCACAAUCUCUUCAGUUUGGGAUGCAGGCAUCCCUUGGGGCAGGCUAACCAACUGCAACAUAGUGCCUGCCCCAGUAAAUUUAUCUUUUUGAUUCUAUCUUUCCAUGAACUUGGUUCUUUUAAAAGAUUUCUUUUUAUUUAUUUGAAAGGCAGAGUUAACAGAGAGAAGUAGAAAGAGAGAGAGGUCUUUCCUCUGCUGGUUCAAUCCCCAAAUGGCUACCACGACUAAGGCUGAGCCAGGCUGAAGCCGGGAGCCAGGAGCUUCUUCCUGGCUUCCCAUGUGGGUUCAGGGGCCCAAGUACUCCACUGCUUUCCCAGGCCAUUAGUAAGGAACUGGAUCAGAAAUAGAGCAGCCAGGACUCAAACCAGCACCCAUGUGGUAUGCCAGCGCUGCAGUUCAGGGCUUUAACCUACUGCAACACAUUGCCAGCCCGUCCAGAACUUUUAAAGUAUUGUCAUGUAUUUGUGUACUUGAUAGUACUACAAGUGGUCUAAAAAUAAUACUUUCAUAAGUAAUGCUGGUACAAUUGACUCUAUAUAGAAAAAAUGAACUUAGAUCCCACCUAUGGACAAAAAUUAAUUCUGUUAAUUCAGUACCUAAAUAUGAAAUAACUAAGUUUUUUUUUAAAAAAGAUUUAUUUGGCCGGCACCGCGGCUCACGGCUAAUCCUCCGCCUAGCGGCGCCGGCACACCGGGUUCUAGUCCCGGUCGGGGCGCCGGAUUCUGUCCCGGUUGCCCCUCUUCCAGGCCAGCUCUCUGCUGUGGCCAGGGAGUGCAGUGGAGGAUGGCCCAGGUGCUUGGGCCCUGCACCCCAUGGGAGACCAGGAAAAGCACCUGGCUCCUGGCUCCUGCCAUCGGAUCAGCGCGGUGCGCCGGCCGCAGCGCGCCGGCCGCGGCGGCCAUUGGAGGGUGAACCAACGGCAAAGGAAGACCUUUCUCUCUGUCUCUCUCACUGUCCACUCUGCCUGUCAAAAAAAGAUUUAUUUAUUUUUAUUUGAAAGGCAGAGUUAGAGAAAUAGGGAGAUCUUCCAUAUGCUGGCUCACUCCCCAAACAGCCACAAUGGUCAGUGUUGGGUCAGGCCGAAACCAGGUACCAGGAGCUUCUGGGUGUCCCAGUGUGGGUGCAGGGGCCAAGGACUUGGGCCAUCUUCUACCAUUUUCCCAGACCACAGCAGAGAGCUGGAUUGGAAGAGGAGCAGCCAGGUCUUGAACCGGUGCUCAUAUGGGAUGCUGGCGCCACAGGCGGAAGAUGAACCUACUGCGCCACAGCGCCUGCCCCAUGUACAUGUCUUAUACAACUUUUUUGUCAUGCUUAUUUUAUAAUUUCAAAAUGUUGCCACUAAAGAGAUUGAAAUGGUAUACCAAAAAAAAUACUUAUUUGGACUAAACAUGAUUUUUCAAAUUAUAAAACUGAGUAAAUUAAUUGAAAAAAACUCUUUCUGAAAGUUGAAUUCAUAGCCUAGAACAGUUGUACACUAAAUGAUAAAGUGAUAUCACACAUCCCCAGUUAGAGAAUUGGAACCAUUAGGGUUCUUUUUUUUUUUUUUUUUUAAGAUUGUAUUUAUUUAUUUGAGAGGUAGAGUUACAGACAGUGAGAGGGAGAGACAGAGAGAAAGGUCUUCCUUCCGUUGGUUCACCCCCCAAAUGACUGAAACGGCUGGAUUUGCGCAGAUCCAAAGCCAGGAGCCAGGUGCUUCUUCCUGUCUUCCAUGCGGGUGCAAGGGCCCAAGAACUUGGGCCAUCUUCUACUGCUUUCCCAGGCCAUAACAGAGAGCUGGAUUGGAAGGGGAGCAGCCAGGACUAGAACUGGCACCCAUAUGGGAUGCCUGUGCCGCAAGCAAAGGAUUAACCUAUUGCACCAUGGCGCCGGCCCCAACCAUUGGGGUUCUGCUCUCUCUGUCCCUCUACCUUCCUGAUAGAUUUGAUAUCCUCAAGAAAUUCUCUCUGCCUUCCCUUUCCGAUCUAGAUUAAAUAAUUUUUCCUUUUUGCUACUGUUACACAGCACUGUAAUUAGCUCAUAUGACUUUUAAAAUUUAUUUAUUUUCAUUGUGCUUAUAAAGGCAGAGUAAUAGAUACAAAUAGCAAGAAAUCUUCCAUCCACUGGUUCACAUCAGUUGGGGCUGGACCAGGCCAAAACCAGGAGCCUGGAACGUAAUCUGAUACUCCCACAUGGGUAACAGAGACUUAACUACUUGAGCCAUCACCUGCUGCCUCCCAGUGUAUAUACAUUAGCAGAAAGUUGGAAUUGGAAGUUGAGCCAGGACCCAAACUGUCAAUCCAAUGGAAUGUGGGUACCCCAAGUAGCAUCUUUACUGUUAUGCCAAAUGCCACCCCAAAAUUAUUUUUGUCAUUAUUCUCUUUCAUCACUUUUUGUCAGACUUUGAGCCAAUGCCCUGCACAGUGCCUGCUUUGCACUUGAUAGGUAAUUAGUAAUGUUUGUAAAAUGGGUAAGGGGUGGGUGGAAAUACCGUAAGUGUUUCUUCUGUAUAGGCUUAAGGUUCCUGGGUCGGGGUGCCGGAUUCUGUCCCGGUUGCCCAUCUUCCAGUCCAGCUCUCUGCUGUGGCCAGGGAGUGCAGUGGAGGAUGGCCCAAGUCCUUGGGCCCUGCACCCCAUGGGAGACCAGGAUAAGUACCUGGCUCCUGCCAUCGGAUCAGCGUGGUGCGCCGGCCACAGCGUGGUGGCCAUUGGAGGGUGAACCAACGGCAAAGGAAGACCUUUCUCUCUGUCUCUCUCUCUCACUGUCCACUCUGUCUGUAAAAAAAAAAAAAAAAAAAAAAAAAAAAAAAAAAGGACUUAACAGGAUAUGAGAUUUGGCCUGCCAAUUAAGAUGCCACUUAGAACUCCUGCAUCCCAUGUUACAAUGGGUUAGUCCCAAUUCCAGCUUCCUGCUGAUGUGUACCCUGAGAGGCAGCUGUUGGUGACUAAGAUUCAGAAAUGUCUGAGAAUCCAGUUUUUUUCCUAGGUUGUUUUUGAUAGAGAAAUAUACAGUAUAUUAACAUUAUCUAUAUUGGCCUUACUAUGCUAUUGAACACCAGAACUUUUUUUUUUUUAAGAUUUAUUUAUUUACUUGAAAAUCAGUUACAUAGAGAGAAGGAGAGGCGGGGUGGGGGAGGAGCAGCCGGGACUCGAACCAAUGCCCAUAUGGGAUGCUGGCUCUGCAGACGGUGGCUUUACCCACUAUGCCACAGCACUGGCCCCCAGAACUUCUUAUUCCUAUCUGGUUAUAACCUGGUACCUAUCAGUCAGUCUUUCCCUAUAACUUCCUUUCUCACUUCCCUCCCCAGCCCCUGGUAACCAUCAUUAUAUUUUUAACUUCUAUGAAAUCAUCUUAAAAAAAAAAAGAUUUAUUUAUUUAUUUGAAAGGCAGAGUUACACAGAGAGAGAAGGAGAGGCAGAGAGAGAGGUCUUCCAUCCACUGGUUCACUCCACCUUGAGCUGACCCCUUAUUUCAAUUCCAUUCAGACAUUUAACACAUUUAACCUGUUAAAUACAGCCAGUUAGUCUGAUGACAUCCCUAUAAUGAUGUGUUGAUACACAUCCCUUAGUGAUGGCCAAGAUGGUGCUAUUAACUGUGACAACUGGGUAUUUCCUCUUGUACUGUUCAUCAGUGUUAGGCUUUGAAAUAACCUGCUAAGACCUCGCUGUUUUAAAUUGGGAUGGCAGGGAGGACUUCCAAAGGAAACAUCUAUUGAAUGUUCUGACAUUUCUGCAAGGUUAAUUUUUUUUUCUUUUUACUUACAAAUCAAAAAAAGUUUGUAACUAAAUGUUUUAUGUUACGUGUGGCAAUUGUAAAUUUAGUAGCAGCUGAGACUGAUCAGCAGUGGCUAAAAUAGAGGACUAGGAUUCCAAGGUGAGUGAACUGCUCUUCUGCAUUUGGGUUGGGUUUGGUUUAGUUUUGGAAGAAAUCUUUUGCCAGGUGAUUGAACCGUAGGAAUUUGAGAGCUCUGUGUUUCUGUAAAUAAGGAAUAAGUCUAAAAAUUUUCUAGCUAGCAGAAAUUACCUUGUAAAAAUCAUUUUAUAAAUGAGAAAACCUACUCAAAUGACUUCUUACUAAAGCCAGGACUAAAAUCUCUGGUUUCUGCAUGCAGUACUGUUUUUACUAUAUCAUACCCAACUCUUAUUUUUAAUUUUGUUAGUGAAUUUAUAUUAGACUGGUGAAUCACUUUUAAACUCAUAAAAUCACAAGUUUCCCUGUAAGACAAAGUGAGAUUUUCACCACUCGCUGUGAAUAUCACAGAAUUUAUUUUUAAGAAAUAUGAAUGAGUUAAGCAAAUCCACAUUAACACAUACAGAAUUUAAAGAGUAUUACAGUUUAAGCCAUCCAAAUUAUACCAGUUUUGUCUUACUUACAACUGAGUUUGUCUUACUUACAACUGAGUUUGCGUUUGCAGCAUUGAUUUGUUACUGAUUUCUGUCCAUACUGUCACUCAUGCUUUUUUCCUCCCAUGGUAUUAGGAUGAAUUUUUCUGUAAAAGUUACCCAUGUGGAUAGUAACUGAUGACUAACAAAGGAAAGAAGCUGCACUGAAGGUGCAUAAACUGAGCCAAAGAUCUCUUCCUUGAUACAUAUUUUUUAAAGACUUAGCAUUUAUUUGAAAGGCAGAGUUAAAUAGAGAGGAGGAGAGGAGAGAGAGAGAUUUGCCAUCUGCUGGCCCACUCCUCAAAUGGCCACAAUAGCCUGGGCUGGGCCAGGCUGAAGCCAGGAGCCCAGAACACCAUCCGAGUCUCUACAUGGGUGUCAGGGGCCCAGGUGCUCCGACCUUACUUCAUUACCUUCCCAGGGACGUUAGAAGGGAGCUGGAUUGGACGUGAAGCAGCCAGACUUUGAACUAACACCCAUAUUGGAUGCUGGCAUUGCAGCCAUGCCCUAAUUCACUGUGCCACAACCCUGGCCUUUCUUCCUUGAUAUUUUUAACUAGUAUAAUAGCAUAAACUAAAGUUCAAAACUUUCAAGCAUCUGUAGUUGCACAAGAAGAGAGGUAGCAGUUGUUGUUUUUUCCAGCAUGUUUUCUUGAGAUUUUUUGGUGACUGACUACUGGGACUUAAAAUGAAUAGUUUGGUUUGAAAAUGAUAAAAUACAAGUGUCGUUUAUUCAGCUAAUAUUUAGUGAUCACCGUGUAGUAAUAGCAAAGAAACAACAAUAAAUAGUUAACAGUUUCUGCCUUGAAAAAUGUCUGUAGUCUAGUUGAAAAAACAGACAUUACACACCUAUAACUUGACUUUUGGCAGAAUGACCAGCCAACUAGGAACAUGACAUACUGGAAAGACAGAGCUGAUGUUGACAAGUAUCAGUAGCAUCAGAUGAUCUGCACAUGUAAGCCUAGGAUUUAAGGUGCUCUUGUGUGAUUAGCUCCGCCUGGUUUUCUGGGUAGACAUUAGAAGAGCACAUUUCCUGUUCAGGCUACAGGGGUCCCAGAUUAAGAACAAAUGCACAUGUACUCACAGUCAGAGAAACCCAAACACACAGGAAACAAGUAAAAAAUUAGCAGAUUUAGAUACACACAUAUACACUAUGGGCUUCAGAUACUGGGUUAUCAGGCAAUUUUUUUUUUUAAAGAUUUAUUUAUUUAUUUGAAAGGCAGUUACUGAGAGGCAGAGGCAAAGAGAAAGAGAGAAGUCUUCCAUCUGCUGGUUCACUCCCCAAAUGGCCACAACAGUUGGAGCUGUACUGAUUCAAAGCCAGGAGCUGGGAGCUUCUUCCUGGUCUCCAUGUGGGUACAGGAACCCAAGGACUUGGGCCAUCUUCUGCUGCUUUCCCAGACAUAUUAACAGGGAGCUGGAUCAGAAGUGGAGAAGCCGGGACUCGAAGGAUGUCCAUAUGGCAUGCUGGCACUGCAGGCAGUAGUUUUACCCCUAUCAGGGGUUUUACCUCUAUCAGCAGUUGGCUUCUAUCAGGCAAUUUAUAGAACAACUAUAGGGUCGUUGUUUGGCAUAGUGGUUAAGACACUGGAUUGCCCACAUCUCCAUAAGUGAUUCCUGAAGUGUCAAGUUUGAGUUGUUGGCCCCGCUUCCAAUCCAGCUCCCUGCUAAUGAGCACCCUGGCAGGCAGCAGUGAUGGCACCCAUGUGUGAGACCUCAGUUGAGUUCCUCACUUUUGACUUUGCUGGCAUUUGGGGAAUGAACCAGUGGACAUAAGAUCUCUGCCUGCCUAUCCCUGUCUCUCUGCCUUUCAAUUAACUGACGAAAAUAAGUAAAUAAAAAUUUAAAAACAAAACAAGCAAAAACCUUAAAAAAAAAAAAAACCACAAGUGUUGGAGAAGAUGCAAAGAAAGUAAAACUCUUCUACCUUUCUAGUAGGAAUAUAAAAUGAUGUGGUUGCUCUCGAAAAUAGUUUGGUGGUUUUUCAAAAAUUAAUCAUAGAAAUACCAUAUAAUCCAGCAAUAUAUUCCCAAAAGAACUAAAAACAGGGACUCAAUAUUUGUAUACUCAUGUUCCUAGCACUGUUCUCGAUAGCAUAAGUGGAGAAGUAACCCAAAUAUCUUAUCAGCAGAUAAAUGGAUCAACAAAACGUGGUGUUGCAUAUAAUGGAAUAUUAUUCAACAUAAAAAGGGAAGGAAAUUUUGACACAUUUUGCAGCAUGAAUGAAGGUUGCUGAUGUUAUACUAAGUGAAAUAAGCUAGUCACAAAAGACAGGUAUUAUGUGAUUGCAUUUGUUUGAAGUGCCUUUAAUAAUCAAAAUCAGAGACAAAGUAAAAUGGUGGUUGCUAUGGGACUGGGAGAAUGGUGUUGUGUAAUGGGUAUAGAAUUUGAGUUUUGCAGGGCUGGCACUGUGGUGCAGCAGGUUAAACAGAUGCCCGUGGCACCGGCAUCCCAUAUGGGCACUGGUUCAAGUCCCAGAUGCUCCUCUUCAAUCCAGUUCCCUGCUUAUGUGCCUGGUAAAAGCAGAAGAUGGCCCACGUGCUUGGGGAGAGCCGGAUGAAGCUCUUGGCUCCUGGCUUUGGCCUGGCCCAGCCCCAGCCAUUAUGGCCUUUGGGGAGUGAGCCAGCAGAUGGAAAAUCUCUGUCUCUUCCUCUUUCUCUGUAACUUGACUUUCAAAUAAAAUAAAAUAAAUAAAUCUUUCUUAAAGAAGAAAAAGAAUUUGAUUUUGCAAGAUAAAAAGUUUUGUUAUGUAACAAUUUGUAUAUACCAAACUGAACUGUAUACUUUAAAAUGGUUAAGAUGGUGAAUUUUAUGAAUUUUAUGUGUAUUAUACCACAGGGCUUUUUUUUUUUUUUAAUCAGAAUGAACUUCUGAUUCAUGGAUGGACCUUGAAAACACUGUGCUGAAAUAAGUCAGGCACAAAUAUUGCAUGAUUACACUUACAUAAAAUACAUAAAAUAGGAAAAUCCAUGGAGAAAGAAAAAAGAUUAGAGAAUAUCCUGAGCUGGAGGAAGAGGUAGUAGGGAGUUAUUGAAUGGAUAACAGAGUACCUGAGUGUCUGUGAGCCCCUGAUUCCCAUGCUGAAGCCUUGCCCCAGUGUGGUAGCAGUAAACAGGUAGCAACUUUGGAGGGUGAUUUGCCCACAAGGGCUCCAUUUUUCUACUUACUACUUGUUGAAUUCUGUAUUUAGUGAAAGGUUAAGCUUGUGACUAUAAAGAAAAUUGAAAUUUUGUCAUGGUAAAAAUUAAAAGAAAAAUUAAGAAGGAGGAGUGGGUAGGAAAUAUCAUUAUGCUCUUGAAACUAUAUAUUUAAAAUAUAUUAAGUUGCUUUUUUACAAAUAAGAAGUUUUUAAUGAUUAAAAUGGCAAAUAUUACAUGUAUUUAACCAGAGUUAAAAAAUUAUUAAUAAUUGUAGCAGACAGAUGACAUCCAAAAAGACUACAGUUUGACAACAGAUUUCUCAGCAGCAGCAGUGGUGGAAGCCAUUUGGCAGUUACCAAACAAAUCUUUAUUCUAGAUUUGCAUGCAAACCAAAACUACUUUCAAGAACCAAGCAGGGACCUGCGUUGUGUGUAGCACAGGGGGUUAAGCAGCCGCCUGCAGCACCAGCAUCCUAUGUGGGGCUCUUUCCAAUCCAGCUCCCUGCUAAUGUGCCUGGUAAGGCAGCAAAGGAUGGCCCAGGAGCUUGGGCCCCUCCUUUCACAGAGGAGACCCAGAAGAGGCUCUUGGCUCCUGGCUUCGGAUCAGCCCAGCUCCAGCCAUUGCAGCCAUAUGGAGAGUGAACCAGUAGAUGGAAGAUCUCUCUAAGAACAGUCUUAGCGGAAGAUUUUUAGACCUUUGUGAAUAAAACUGUACUCGGAAAUAAUACAAAUUUUUAAAUGCUAAUAAGAUAUUAUGUAGUCAUUAACAGUCAUGUUUAUGGGGCAGGCAUUUAGCCUUGCAGUUAAGAUGCUGGUUAAUAUACCUGGAACCCACAUCGAAGUACAAAGGUUCACGUCCCAGCUCUGCUUCCUGAUUCCAGUUGCCUGCUGAUGCAGA